RNAcentral lists this transfer RNA (72 nucleotides) under Bos taurus (domestic cattle). It matches the Rfam family "tRNA". Rfam says of the family: Transfer RNA (tRNA) molecules are approximately 80 nucleotides in length. Their secondary structure includes four short double-helical elements and three loops (D, anti-codon, and T loops). Further hydrogen bonds mediate the characteristic L-shaped molecular structure. tRNAs have two regions of fundamental functional importance: the anti-codon, which is responsible for specific mRNA codon recognition, and the 3' end, to which the tRNAs corresponding amino acid is attached (by aminoacyl-tRNA synthetases). tRNAs cope with the degeneracy of the genetic code in two manners: having more than one tRNA (with a specific anti-codon) for a particular amino acid; and 'wobble' base-pairing, i.e. permitting non-standard base-pairing at the 3rd anti-codon position. The record is from Rfam by way of RNAcentral. Lineage: Eukaryota; Metazoa; Chordata; Mammalia; Artiodactyla; Bovidae. RNAcentral also lists the same sequence under 4 other names.
UCCCAGAUAGCUCAGAUGGUAAAGUGUCUGCCUGCAAUGCCGAAGACCCGGGUUCGAUCCCUGGGUCAGGAA